GAGGGAAUCUUCGGCAAUGGACGAAAGUCUGACCGAGCAACGCCGCGUGAGUGAAGAAGGUUUUCGGAUCGUAAAACUCUGUUGUUAGAGAAGAACAAGGACGUUAGUAACUGAACGUCCCCUGACGGUAUCUAACCAGAAAGCCACGGCUAACUACGUGCCAGCAGCCGCGGUAAUACGUAGGUGGCAAGCGUUGUCCGGAUUUAUUGGGCGUAAAGCGAGGGCAGGCGGUUUCUUAAGUCUGAUGUGAAAGCCCCCGGCUCAACCGGGGAGGGUCAUUGGAAACUGGGAGACUUGGGUGGAGAAGAGGAGAGUGGAAUUCCAUGUGUAGCGGUGAAAUGCGUAGAUAUAGGGGGGAACACCAGUGGCGAAGGCGGCUCUCUGGUCUGUAACUGACGCUGAGGCUCGAAAGCGUGGGGAGCAAACAGG
This 429-nucleotide ribosomal RNA is filed under the name Gemmatimonadota bacterium. Its description in RNAcentral is "Gemmatimonadetes bacterium partial 16S ribosomal RNA". It matches the Rfam family "Bacterial small subunit ribosomal RNA", at positions 355 to 776 of the family's 1533-position model. The record is from RNAcentral. Lineage: Bacteria; Pseudomonadati; Gemmatimonadota.